GUGUGAUCCUGGCUCAGAUUGAACGCUGGCGGCAGGCCUAACACAUGCAAGUCGAACGGUAACAGGGAAGCAAGCUUGCUGCUUUGCUGACGAGUGGCGGACGGGUGAGUAAUGUCUGGGAAACUGCCUGAUGGAGGGGGAUAACUACUGGAAACGGGUGGCUAAUACCGCAUAACGUCGCAAGACCAAAGAGGGGGACCUUCGGGCCUCUUGCCAUCAGAUGUGCCCAGAUGGGAUUAGCUUGUUGGUGAGGUAACGGCUCACCAAGGCGACGAUCCCUAGCUGGUUCUGAGAGGAUGACCAGCCACACUGGAACUGAGACACGGUCCAGACUGCCUACGGGAGGCAGCAGUGGGGAAUAUUGCACAAUGGGCGCAAGCCUGAUGCAGCCAUGCCGCGUGUAUGAAGAAGGCUCGGGUUGUAAAGUACUUCAGCGGGGAGGAAGGUGUUGUGGUUAAUAACCGCAGCA
RNAcentral lists this ribosomal RNA (469 nucleotides) under Salmonella enterica. RNAcentral describes it as "bacterial SSU rRNA". It matches the Rfam family "Bacterial small subunit ribosomal RNA", at positions 11 to 474 of the family's 1533-position model. Lineage: Bacteria; Pseudomonadati; Pseudomonadota; Gammaproteobacteria; Enterobacterales; Enterobacteriaceae. The record is from RNAcentral.